This 253-nucleotide ribosomal RNA is filed under the name uncultured bacterium. RNAcentral describes it as "partial 16S ribosomal RNA". It matches the Rfam family "Bacterial small subunit ribosomal RNA", at positions 524 to 776 of the family's 1533-position model. The record is from RNAcentral.
UACGUAGGGGGCAAGCGUUGUCCGGAAUCAUUGGGCGUAAAGAGCGUGUAGGCGGCUCGAUAAGUCUGCUGUGAAAGUCCAGGGCUCAACCCUGGAAGGCCGGUGGAAACUGUCGGGCUAGAGUCCGGAAGAGGCGAGUGGAAUUCCCGGUGUAGCGGUGAAAUGCGCAGAUAUCGGGAGGAACACCAAUGGCGAAGGCGGCUCUCUGGGCCCUACCUGACGCUGAGACGCGAAAGCGUGGGGAGCGAACAGG